RNAcentral lists this ribosomal RNA (305 nucleotides) under uncultured bacterium. Its description in RNAcentral is "partial 16S ribosomal RNA". It matches the Rfam family "Bacterial small subunit ribosomal RNA", at positions 505 to 809 of the family's 1533-position model. The record is from RNAcentral.
ACAGCAGUCGCCACGGUAAUACGAAGGGUGCAAGCGUUACUCGGAAUUACUGGGCGUAAAGCGUGCGUAGGUGGUUGUUUAAGUCUGCUGUGAAAGCCCUGGGCUCAACCUGGGAAUUGCAGUGGAUACUGGGCAACUAGAGUAAGGUAGAGGAUAGUGGAAUUUCCGGUGUAGCAGUGAAAUGCGUAGAGAUCGGAAGAAACAUCUGUGGCGAAGGCGACUAUCUGGGCCAUUACUGACACUGAGGCACGAAAGCGUGGGGAGCAAACAGGAUUAGAUACCCCCGUAGUCCCUGUAUCUUAUAA